Molecule: long non-coding RNA, 5520 nt
Organism: Brassica napus (rape)
Lineage: Eukaryota; Viridiplantae; Streptophyta; Magnoliopsida; Brassicales; Brassicaceae
Exons: 2
Source: RefSeq, a predicted model, not a curated record
UAGUUUCUGGAACUUUUCAAUCUAGUUAAAAUUUGAAAAGCAAGAAACUCGUAGUUUUUGUUUUUGUCUUUUUGUUAUCGGCGUUAGUUUAGCAUUCACCGUUCGCUCAUAGAUUUUAGAGAAAUUGAUAUUCUGUCAAAUUUAUGUCAAUUCCUUUAAAAUCCAUAAGAAAAAAGUAAACAGAAUUAUGUAUAUGCAUCAAAACCUCAUGAAAUCUUGUAAACUACUGCAAUAUUUCUUAUUUAUGAAUUCUUUCAAAUUCUAUUAAAUUCUGGAUCGAAUACCCCUUAAUAGUUAAUACUAUCCCGAUUGUCCACCUCGUUGAAAGGCUGAUACUUUCUUGCGCUGGUGAUGUUAAAGAUUCGUAUAGAAAACUUGUAGAAGACAAAUUCUGUGGUAGCUGGAAAUAAAACCAGGAGUAGAGUUGCUCUUAAUCAUGAUAACUGUUUGGAUUUAAAUAUCUACACCUUAAUCAAUAUAUUGGUAUGCUUAACACAUGAUAACUGGUUGUCUCAAUCAAUUUCCAUUUUCUGCCGGUCUAUGCUGUUUUAGUUCGGGUUAACCAACCUUAGUUAGGCGACUUAUUAGAUCAUCUUUUUGAAAGACAAUUAAAGGUUUCAGUUUCCGAAAAAAGACAUUUAAAGGUACAUAUAUUGGUAUGCUAAACACAAACUUUCACCGGUCAUUUUUUAAAUUAAGUUACGUAAGUUGGUUAUAUGCCAAAUUAAAUCUAUUUUGUAUCGUACUACUAUCUAAAAAAUCGGCAUUUUACGUGAUUAUUGUAAGAUUUUCGAUACUGAUUUCUCUGUUAUAUUAUUUUACUAUUUUUAUAAAAAAUAACUGAAGAAGAAAAAGGGACAACAUCACAGCCUUAUUUUACUGAUAGCAUUAAAAAAUAUUCUCUCUUUUAUAUAACAACCAAGUAAUACAUACAUAUAUCUUUUUAAUCCACCACAACAUCAUCUUCAAACUCUAAAUUUUCAAAUAAUAUAUAUACGUAAUAUAUCGUUGGUAUAUCAUAACGUCUUCAUCUACUCAUCAUUAAGAAGUCAACUCCAGCGUUUUGCGACCGCAUUUAGGACAAUCAAGUCGUAUAUCAGUGAAAAAGGCAUAUGAGCGAAAGUCUGGGAGUUUGUGAAAGUGUAUAAAAUUUUUAAUUCAGCCAUUUCGUUUUAAGCGACUACUCAAUUUUGAUCCGCACUUCAAAAGUGCGGGAUAAUUUCUUACAUUUGAAAAUUACUACAACUUUUUGUUUCAAUUGAAUGUUUGAGUUUUGACGUCUAUAAUUAGAAGUAAUUUAUUUUGACGUCUUAUAGUGCUAGGCACUCGGGUUUUAGUUCGGGUCUUUUCAGGUUAUUUUGUUUUUGGCUUAUUUUGUUUGGAGUGUUUAGCACCCAUUUAAGAACCAGAUAUUUUUCGGAUCAGAUCAGUCUGGGUAAUGUCAAAUUUGGGUCGAGUUUAUAUUUUCUGUAAAACCCAAGUGGAACCAACUUUGAAAUAGUUUGAGUUUGAUGUAUGUUUAAAACCAAAAAUCUCCAAAAAAAACUCUUGAAAACCCGAGUUAAAUUAGAAAUUCAAAAAAGUUGGGUAAGUAAGGGUUUUUGGAUAUUUUAAUUUAUAAAUUAAAUUAUACAUUAUAAUAAUUAAUAUUUUUUAUUUUAAUAUUUAGAUAACCUUUCGGUUCUCUGGUUGGGCUUCGAUUUUUGGAUUUAGAGAAAUAGGAACAUUCAAGAUUUUGCAAAUUUUAGCUGGUUUUAAUUAUAGUUUUUUUUUUCGUUUCGGUUUCAAUUUGAUUUUUGGGUUUUAAAUAAUAUGUUCAAGACUAACAUGUCAUUAGUUUUCUUAUAUGUGCUUUAAUAUCUAUAUUACUAAAAUAUAAUAGUUAUUAUUUUUAACCUUAAAAUACUUUAUAAUAUUAAUUUUUGAAAUAUUGUGUUUUUAAAAGAUUUUUGUCCUUCAUUAAAUAUAUUUUAUCCUUUGUAAAUUGAUUCAAAAAAAAUCAUGCGUGCAACAUUCAGUGAUACUGAUGGCAUUAAGAAAAUAUUAUCUCUUUUAUAUAACAACCAAAUAAUACUACAUAUAUCUUUUUAAUCCACCACAACAUCAUCUUCAAACUCUAUAUUUUCAAAUAAUAUAUACAUAAUACAUCGUUGGUAUAUUACAACGUCUUAAUUUACUCAUCAUUAAGAAGUCAACUCCAGCGCUUUGCGACCGUGUUUAGGACAAUCAAGUCGUAUAUCAGUGAAAAAGGCAUACGAGGGAAAGUCUGGGAGUUUAUGAAAGUGUAUAAAAUUUUAAGUUCAGCCAUUAUGUUUUAAGCGACUACUAAAUUUUGAUCCGCGUUUUUAAAGUGCGGGAUAAUUUUUAAAAAAAAUUACUACAACUUUUUGUUUCAAUUGAAUGUUUGAGUUUUGACAUCUAUAAUUAGAAGUAAUUUAUUUUGAUGUCUUAUAGUGCUUGGCACUCGAGUUUUAGUUCGGGUCUUUUCAGGUUAUUUUGUUUUUGGCUUAUUUUGUUUGGAGUGUUUAGCACCCAUUUAAGAACCAGAUAUUUUUCAGAUCAGAUCAGUCUGGGUAAUUUCAAAUUUGGGUCGCGUUUGUAUUUUUUGUAAAACCCGAAGUGGAACCAACUUUGAAAUAGUUUGAGUUUGAUGUAUGUUUAAAGCCAAAAAUCUCCAAAAAAAACUCUUGAAAAUCCGAGUUAAAUUAGAAAUCCAAAAAGUUGGUAAGUAAGGGUUUUUGGAUAUUUAAUUUAUAAAUUAUAUUAUAUAUUAUUAUAAUUAAUAUUUUUUUAUUUUAAUAUUUAGAUAACCUUUCGGUUCUCUGGUUUGGUUUUGAUUUUUGGAUUUAGAGAAAUAGGAACCAUUCAAGAUUUUGCAAAUUUUAGCUGGUUUUAGUGAUAUGUUUUUUUUUUUCGGUUUCAGUUUGAUUUUCGGGUUUUAAAUAAUAUGUUCAAGACUAACGUCUCAUUAGUUUUCUUAUAUGUGCUUUAAUAUCUAUCUUACUAAAAUAUAAUAGUUAUUAUUUUUAACCAUAAAAUACUUUAUAAUAUUAAUUUUUGAAAUAUUGUGUUUUUAAAAGAUUUUUGUCCUUCAUUAAAUAUAUUUUAUCCUUUGUAAAUUGAUUAAAAAAAAAUCAUGCGUGCAACAUUCAGUGAUACUGAUGGCAUUAAAAAAAUAUUCUCUCUUUUAUAUAACAACCAAAUAAUACAUACAUAUUAGGGGCAGCCCGCCCUACGGGCGGGAUAUAAUUUACUUGUGAUAUAAUUAUUAUUUUUUGUAUGAUUUUGUUGUUGAUGUUUUAAGUUUGUAUUCACAAGAGAUGUAUGACAAUAAUUUUGUCUUUUAGGAAGUUUUAGGUAAAGAGGGAUUAUAUGUGAUAAGAUAUAUUUUGCUACUUAAUUUUAGUGAUUCUCUUAUUUUACAAUAUAAGUGGAUGAUAAUGGAGUAUCUGAGACGUAGAAAAAAAAAGUAAGGUAGAUCUUUAUAAAAAAAACUUAUUUUGGUUGUAAAGUGAAGUGUGAACGAUAAUACAUGGCUUUGGCGUUUGAAAUUACUACUUACAAUUAAAAAAAAAUUCGAAGUCCAUAUCAAAUUUUUUGUCUAGGAAUUCAUUGAAAUUGGUCCUUGAAAAAACGUAUUUUCAUGUCCUCCACAUUUCUUCAUAUAUAUCAACAAUGAGUGAGGAGAGAUAUCCACUAAAUGUAAGAUAUAUUUUUUUUCAACAUACAUAAACUCUGAAAGAGCAUGAACUUACCCGAGCAGCAUAUUGUUGGGAUCGUGAAAAUCCAUGUUCAACAUUUUAUUAUCCGAUUAACAUGAUAGUGUCCACUUUGGACAUGGAUUUGCUUUUGGAUUCCUUCCCAAAAAAUUUCGUACUAAUUAUAGUUGCACAUCUCUUUAUAUAUUAGAUUAUCCUUUGUCUAAUUUCCAACGUGGGACUUUGUUUGAUAUCUCACACAUAUGUUCUUUAAAAUCGUCUCUUCUCAGAAUUAAGCUGCUAUCAAAAUUACAAAUGAUCAGAAAGCUAAAAUCAUAGGGUAUUUCUCAAAAUUAAUAAAAAAAUCAACUCAAAAUGGCUCUUAAUAAAUUUAUGUACUUCAUCUGAAAUUAGCAAGUGUUAGUUCAUCACCGACACAAAUUCCAUGAACAGAGACGUUUACCAGCUAGAGAAGAAGAUAUUUUUUCCCAUUGCAAAUCAUUGAGGAAAAGUUAAGAGAUAAGAGUCCUUUCUAGGUGAUCUUCCUGAUAACGUCUAAUUGUUUAACUGAUUUUUACGAAGCUACUGUAUUGGAUCCUCGCCCAGAACAUUCAUCUUGCUGAUGCUCCUGCAUCUGAAAGAUACAGAUUACAAUUCGGUUGAUAGGAACAAUCUAGUUCAUAAUCGGAAGAGGCACAAUUAUUGGGUUUUCAUGCUAUUUAUCUAAUUUCAAAUACAAUGGAACAAUUUUUUGAAUCGUAUAAUUAUCAUUUUAAGAAAAGACUUUUUGAAAAAUCUAUUUAACUCAAUAAAUAAAAACAUAGAAAAUAAAAUGAUCUCUAUUUUUUUGUUUUGAAAACAAUCAAAUACAGUUUUAAAUUAUUUAUUCUACUUAUUAUCAUCCAUAAAUAUUAAAAUAGUAAAGUUAAAGUUAUUUUAAUUAAAAAUAAACAAAAUAUAGAAUAUUAUUUCGUCCAUUUGGGGUAAGAAUAUUAUUCACUGGAGGUCAAAGGUGGUAAAAUCAAAUACUAUAUAGUAUCUAAUUUAGACCGUCACAUUUUUAUUGCAAAUCCAGUAUUCAAAACAAAAUUAUAUGAGGCUACGUAGAGGCCCAUUUUGAGAUCCACACAGAAAAUUUAAGCCAGGAAAUAUGUUGUUUUGUUACAUGAAGCGAUACCGUUUCAUCGGUCUUUUUAUUUACUAAUUGGACCUUUGGUUCAAACCCAUUUAUAUUUCGCAUUUUUUGUAAAUUUUUUAAUAGCGAGCCCUCAGCAAAGCAAUCGCAAUCUCGAUCUUGGAAAAGAGAGAAGAAAUGGCGGCCUAAACAAUAAUAAGGUCUGAAGCUUCCCUGAUGAAUCAGUUUCUGACGAAGCCAUCAACAAAUAUUUUGCAGAACAAUAUCAGUGAUAUGGCGGAUUCCACCAGGUUUGGGCUGGAGGUAAUUGGAGUGGUUUGACACGAUCGCUUGCUUCCACCAGAGGUUAACGGGCCAAAAGCAGAUGCUUCUGCCGCUUCUGUCCAGGGCCGCUACUGCCCAAGUCAAAUGGUUGAUACUAUUACGGAAGCUCAUAAGUAGAGACCAUCAACGAAAAGGAGGAAUGAGUUUUAAGAGGACAGGUGACAGCUUCUCCUUUCUCUAUUUGAUGAGGUGGCAUCGUAAGAAGAGAGAAAACUCUUCUUACUAGGAAAAAGAACUCAUCAGGUCUCCAACUAGCAGACCCUCUUUCAUUUGUACACAUCGUCGUUUAACAGUCACCAGGCUACGGGUUUAACAUUUGGAACUUUGUAUGUCUUCACCAAAAGUAUCAGAAUUCUUAAAUUA